UAAAGCAAAACAAAAUAAAUAAUAAAAAUAAAAUCAUUAUGAAGAACGCAAGCAAAAACCAUGCCAAAAAGACUGUGUGACGAGCGUCACACAACCUAUCACGGACGUCACACAAAGUGCUUGUGACGCCCGUCAUGCCCCUGUAACGAGCGUAACGCCUUUUGAACAUGUUAACAUUACAAAGCCGUUGGAGACGAACGUUAC
This 204-nucleotide long non-coding RNA is filed under the name Lathyrus oleraceus (garden pea). RNAcentral's name for it is "Pisum sativum (pea) long non-coding RNA (PSAT_LNC016824)". Lineage: Eukaryota; Viridiplantae; Streptophyta; Magnoliopsida; Fabales; Fabaceae. The record is from RNAcentral.